This 640-nucleotide long non-coding RNA is filed under the name Vulpes vulpes (red fox). RNAcentral's name for it is "lncRNA (ENSVVUG00000018882.1)". Lineage: Eukaryota; Metazoa; Chordata; Mammalia; Carnivora; Canidae. The record is from RNAcentral.
GAGCCACAGUGCUGUCUAACCCAGAGGGAGGUCAGGAAGGUGCCAGCUUCCCUGCUCUGGGGUAUGUUCUAAAGAAAUGAUCAUUAUGGGAUCCCACAAGCAUACUCCACUCCUCCAUCCCAUUGCCAGUGUCAGAGAUCUGUGGAGGCACAGAAAACUCCGUGUAUGGAUGGAGGAGGGGGUCUAAGAUUUGAUAGUCUAGUCUGGAUGCUCAUCAAAAAUGCCCAUAUUGGGCUCCAAGAAAGAUCUUCACGUCGAAUGAGACCACCCUUCAUGCAUCCUUCUCAGUGCAGAAAUAGACAGAUGUGGAUGAAGAAACAGGAAAACAUUCUUCACCUCCAGGAAACAGACUCAUCCUCUCCUUCACGAAGCCCAUCUCCACACGGAAAUGUAUGACCCGUCUCUGUCUCUCAGCACAGAGCUCUUAUUCAGACCUCGGUCUGCCCUCCCUGCUCGGACUGUGUUGCUUGUUCUUCCCGACUCUUCGGGGGCAGACACGACGAAUUUCCUCCACCAGGACCAGCCGGUGGUCCCCACAUUCCUUUGGAUGAGCAGAUCUGCUGGGGAUUCGAGAGAAAGCAAGCACAGGCUCCUGGACCACACAGCCUCCCGAAUCCUACCCUCACUCAGGCUUCCCUAG